Molecule: ribosomal RNA, 24 nt
Filed under: Ageniaspis citricola
Lineage: Eukaryota; Metazoa; Arthropoda; Insecta; Hymenoptera; Encyrtidae
Description: partial 28S ribosomal RNA
Source: RNAcentral
UGACGACCUCAGAGCAGGCGAGAU